CAGCUUUUAUUUUUAUUCAAAAUGCACCACUUUAUUUUCCUUACCAGACAGCCAAGCAUUAAGCACGUUCCAGUCACGUGACUUCUUCAGCGAGCCCCCAGGCUUCCACUCCACGGGAGUCUGGGAGCUCCUGGACAGAGGAGUCCUGAGAUUUCAAAUAGUCAAGCCUUCUCCCCAGCCACAAGUUCCUUUGAUGCUUGGGUUACUGAACACAAACGCAAUGGAUUGUUUGUCUUCAACAUAAUCCGUUUCUGUUCCUAAACGUGUUGGCUGCGCUUUCUUUCUGAUGAGCACGCUGACUCUAAUUUGAACUUCAUCAAAAUCUUCUUUGUCGUCGUAUGUUCUAGAGUAUAAGAAAAGCCAAUACGGCCCUUGGUUCGGACAUCAACUUUCUUUUAAAUUUUUUUUUCGUAUUUUUAGUAGAGACGGUGUUUCACUAUGUUGGCCAGGCUGGUCUCGAAUUCCUGACCUCGUGAUCUGCCCGCCUUGGCCUCCCAAAGUGCUGGGAUUACAGGCAUGAGCCACCGUGCCCGGCCCGGACACCAACUUUCAUACCUAGAUGCUCAGACUUAUCUUUAAGAAGUUGUUUUAUCUUGCUUACUGCUAAAGGUGUCUGGGUGAGGGUGGCCCGAGUGGUCUGCAGCUUCCUCUUGCUCACAGGCCGGGGGACUAAGGAAGGCGACAUCUUCACUGUCCUCCUGGACUAGCUCCAGCCCCAGGAACUACGGCCUCUCUCCGUGCACACGGCACGCGAAUUCAUGAACUUGCUUUUAAACCUGCACAAGAGUCUUUCUGAUCAUUAGUUCUUAAAAUUCUACAUUACCAUGGAAAUAUCACGGAGGCUCUAAGGCUCCCCUUAAAGUGACCAAAAAACUGGAUAGGCGUAGCGUCCUAAAACCUCAUAGAAACAUACGGAAAUGGCUAAGAGGGAAGCAAUGUCAAAACAGGGAACCACAUAAAAGCUUUCAAAAACUACUGGGAAAGAGCCCGCAAGAUGGAAAAACUCAUAAGAGGUCGAGGACAAUUUACACAAUUUAUAACAAAGGAAUGGAGCGUCCCAGGCACUCAGGAGUCCGUAAAUGACUCCUCCUUCCUACGAGAAAUGGGAUGUCUCCUACAGUCGCAAGUCAGCCCGUGCCUUCUGGAGCUUUUCUAGAUACGUCUCUUACAAACGCUUCUUUUAAAAAAAAAGGCGAGAAUGUGUGGCGUAGCUAAUAUUCUGUCUUCAAACUCAGUAGGAAGUCAACAAAGAAAAAUCCCGCUGAAAGCGCCAAGGCCGGCUGGGUUCCCCGCACCUCCUGCAGGUGAGUGGUGCCCGGGGCUGGGCACCGUGGAGCGUCGGGGGCGCGGCGCCCCGGGCCGGCGGGCCCUGCUUGGCAUUAUGUAAUCACCCCCGGGCCGGGCAGCCGGGCCAACCCCGCCGCCGCCGACCCGCUCCACUGCACAGCGCGGCGGGAGCGACACGCGGCAGGCGAGUGCGGCUGGGAAACGACCCGCGGCUCGGGGGCCGCGAGGACCCGGCCCUGGCCUGGCCUCUCCUCGCGUCCCCUGGCCCGCGCCCCCGCUCCCGGAGCGCCCGGCGGGCCCAGCGCACCCCACAACCGGCAAGCAGGUGCCUUGCCCCAGGGACAGCCCCAGCGUGCCGGGAGGACUCAGCCCAGCCCAUUCGCAGCGGCUCACGCUGCCCUGCCUAGCCUUUCCCGCAGAACCCCCAGUGGAAGCUCCGGCCCAGGCCUUCACCGCGCUCCUCCCUGCUCCAGCCCUGGUGCCUCUCCUCCGGGCCCGUCUGGCAUGGCAUGCCUCCUCCUUUCGGAGAAAUUAACAAGGGCAAAGCCCCCUUCAGCCGUGCAGACACUCUGAACGGGAGCCUGUCAGCUUUGAGGGGACGUGGGCUGUGCAGGUUCCUCCCAGCCCGGGGCUACCUCCUCGGUCCUGGACACCAUCUGCACUCUGUCAGCCAGCAUGUCUGUCAUUUUCUUCUCAACGGACUUGAAGCUGCAGAAGGCAAUAGGGACACAGCAGUGAGGGGCACAGGCCCGAGAGCCAUGGUGGGCCACCCAGGAGCCCAGUCCUGAGUUGGGUGCUGUGCCAGAAUCAGGGACUCAGAAGCUCAGGCUGGAGUGCGAUGGUACGAUCUCGGCUUGCAGCAACCUCUGCCUUCUGGGUUCAGGUGAUUCUCGUGCCUCAGCCUCCCGAGUAGCUGGGAUUACAGGCAUGCACCACCAUGCCAGGCUACUUUUUGUAUUUUUAGUAGAGAUGAAGUUUCACCAUGUUGGCCAGGCUGGUCUAGAACUCCUGACCUCAAGUGAUCCGCCUGCCUUGGCCUCCCAAAGUGCUGGGAUUACAGGCAUGAGCCACCAUGCCCAGGCCGGGAAUAAUUGUUUUUUAAGUGUGUAUGUUCUAAACAGAAGAAGGCGCUACCAGAGGAACAGAAAGCACCCAGGCGAAGGAGGGGCAUGGACAGGGGUGGGGAGAGGGGUGGGCCCAGGAAGCAUAGAGGGGCAGGGCUUCCAGGUGAGCCAAUAGGACCAGGGGCCAAGGCAAGAGGGACAAGCAGAGGACGGUGCUGAGAGCCACCUGGGCUGGGACCACAGCAGGAAAAGAGCUGCGAUGCAGCCUCCGUCCACCACUCCUCCUAAACUGCACUUCCAUGCUGUCACCUUCCCGAAGCAUGGCUCUCCAGAGCUCCCCUUUGCCCAGUCUUAGGGUGAGGGUGUUUCCAGCUGGCUCCCCGCCCCAUCCACAGGUUGCUCCUCUUAGCACCUCCUGUGCUCUCCCUAUCUACAGCCCAUCUGGAGUAGGUUCUGCUUUGUGGCAGCCCGAGGGGCGGUGCUCAGCCUCCCAUGAAGGGGGUCUUCCCUCACAAUCGGACUGCUGGCUGCCUUUGGCCUCGUCUGCAGGGAGCAGGGCGGGUGGGCUGGCUGGGACGGCAGCAAGCCCUGCUUACAGGCCCAGCGGACCCUCAAAGGUGCAAGGACUUUCUGAGGGUGCAGGACCUGUCUGACUCUCAGAGGCCCAGGCAAUGAGAAAAUGACAGGCAAGAUACAAACAAUACCAAAUCAUUUAAUACGUGCAAGAAAGUCCGAAGAAUUCUGAUAUACCCCACGAUAUGCUUUUUUGGAAUAGCCAAAAAUGAAGUUUAAAAAAACGUUUUCCACAUGCCUCGGCGUCCUGCGUAGCCGGUGGUCAGGCAGAGCUCCCUCUCCCUGGCGGGUGCGGGGCGGCUCCGCCCCAGGACGCUCCCGCCCCUCCCAGAUCCCAGCCCCUGACCCCCGCCCUUCCCGGGCCGCUGG
This 3293-nucleotide long non-coding RNA is filed under the name Homo sapiens (human). RNAcentral describes it as "HSALNT0355491". Lineage: Eukaryota; Metazoa; Chordata; Mammalia; Primates; Hominidae. The record is from RNAcentral.